RNAcentral lists this long non-coding RNA (253 nucleotides) under Lathyrus oleraceus (garden pea). Its description in RNAcentral is "Pisum sativum (pea) long non-coding RNA (PSAT_LNC041123)". The record is from RNAcentral. Lineage: Eukaryota; Viridiplantae; Streptophyta; Magnoliopsida; Fabales; Fabaceae.
AAAUAAAUAAGUAAAAUAUAAUAGAAAAUUUUUGGACUUGGGCCUCUCUCAUUUGAGCCCACAGGUCCACAAAAAUCAGGUUAUAAAUUCAGAGUUUCAGUGAAACAAAAGGCAAUUCUAUUCCUAUUACCCUGGUAGGGAAAAAGAUAGUGAGAGAAGAGCUAACAGAGUUCAGAGCAACCUCCAGAGACUGAAGGGAACUCAUCGGCAAAGAGCCAAUUCCAUCUCAUAUAAACCCUCAGAUUGCUUUGCA